RNAcentral lists this microRNA precursor (91 nucleotides) under Canis lupus familiaris (dog). RNAcentral describes it as "mir-8799 microRNA precursor family". It matches the Rfam family "mir-8799 microRNA precursor family". Lineage: Eukaryota; Metazoa; Chordata; Mammalia; Carnivora; Canidae. The record is from Rfam by way of RNAcentral.
UGGAGAGCGCUAGAUCCUGGGCUGUAUCCCCAGCGCCCUGUGCUCCCGGGCCUGAGCUGUUGGAAUCGCGCUCCUGGCCUCGCAGCCCCCU